RNAcentral lists this transfer RNA (73 nucleotides) under Candidatus Omnitrophota bacterium. RNAcentral describes it as "tRNA-Gly". It matches the Rfam family "tRNA". Rfam says of the family: Transfer RNA (tRNA) molecules are approximately 80 nucleotides in length. Their secondary structure includes four short double-helical elements and three loops (D, anti-codon, and T loops). Lineage: Bacteria; Pseudomonadati; Candidatus Omnitrophota. RNAcentral also lists the same sequence under 1 other name. The record is from RNAcentral.
GCGGCGGUAAUUCAGUGGCUAGAAUGCCACCUUGCCAAGGUGGAUGUCGUGGGUUCAAAUCCCAUCCGCCGCU